CUGCUCCCACGGUGUCCUUACCAGCACAACUUACCCCAUCCCUCCCUAGCCCACUCUUGAGGAUACUUUCUUGCCACUGUCAGGCUUACUCCUGCCUCCUAGACUGAGGAAAGAAAAGCCUCCUGGUUUGGAGCUCAUAAUCAAGUCAGCCUUGCUGCAGGGCUCAUUUUAAGCCAGUAUCCUGGACCAGAUAAGGAAGCUGAAGCUUUGAGAAUUUAAUUUGCUCAAGGGGAGGCCAGGACAAGAAAUAAUGAAGAGUCCGAUGUGGCAGGAAUGUAGGAAACAAGUCAAUGAUGGAAGAUAAAUAUGGAGACGUGAUGAAGGCAAAAUUCUGAAGGGUCUUAGAGCCCAUUAUAAGACGUUUGGUUUUUAUGACUAUGCCGUGCAAGACUUGGUAAACUGGUCCCUACCGCAGAGGAUUUUAUACAGAGCACGCUAGUGGCUCACAGGUAGUGUCUUAUUGAAUGUUGAAUUUCCACACUUUUGACUGCAUGAAUCAGUAAAUACUUGGGUUUAUUUUGCCACAUAGAGGUCUACAUUGGUUUGAUACAAGUAAAUAGCAAUAAUGAUAAGAGUCACUGCCAUUAAUGGAGUGUCUCCUUGAUACCAGACACUGUCUCAGAUAACUUGAAUUAACUCUUUAAACCCACAUGGCCCUGGUCCUGAAAGGUGGUAUUAUUCAUUUUUAUAGAUGAGGAAACUGAGACACAGGCAACACUACUUCAACAUUGGCCCCAAACCAUUUUUAUUUGCCCUGAGUAAUUUGCUAGUUCUCCUCUUUCAGUAUGCCAGUCUUCUCUAUCCAUUGGUCUAUAGUUGGUUGCAAUUCGUCUUUGUCACCUGUUCCUGACACUGACCAAUUACUGACCAUAUCUCCCUAUUCUCUGCCAUGUGAUAACCUUUGGUUCUCCCAAAUAAACUCUUUCCUUAUCUCUACUCUAUUGAAACCAACCACCCCUCUCUCCACACAGAAUAUUUCACUGAUUGCCUUGCCCGCUUCUCAAAGGCCCACUUCUCUGUGGAAUGAUGCAGUUGCUAAGAAGAGCUGUUAAUGUCAUGACCUCAAUGAAUAAAAAAGACUUCCUUUUCUCCAUGCCCACUCAAGUAAAAGGCUUCUCUCUGAACUCCUGCUAAUUUUUCAUCAGCAAAGGUGCACAGCCUUUUGGAAGUGAAAUGAUUACUAGUGAAGAAAAAGAAAGAACCUAACACUUAUUUUACAAGCCUCCCAGUGACCACUCUUCAGACAAAACUUCUUAUAAUAGCUUCCUUCCCUGAAUCUUUUGCGAAACAUCAAAUCACAAAGAGAUCUUAUUAUGCCAUUAAGAAUAUUUAAUUCAUGGGAGGAGGUCAAAAUAUCAACAUUAGCUGGAUUUUGGAAAAAGUGGAUUCCAACCCUCAGUGGACGACUUUGUGGAAUUCAAGACUCCAAUAGAGGAAGUCACCACAAAUAGCAAAAGAACAAGAAUUACCUGUGCAGCCUGAAGACGGGACUGAAUUGCUGCAAUUGUAACAUCAAAUGUUAAAUCUGAACCAGACCAUGUCCUGAAACAAAAGAGGAAGAAUCUUUGGGGAGCUGUGCUGAUGGUUUUGGAUUUCUCCAAAGGAAGAAUGCUUUGCCUGAGUCUUGUAUCCUUGGAAUUAUUAGGAAUGUUUGCCAUUAAAUAAGAUCUGAUUCAUGUGAGUUUGAGUUGACAGCUCUACCCUAUGUGUUAUCUCAGAACUCUAUACAGCAAACUAUAGAAUAUUGUUGAGAUAAAUUAAAUGAAACCUUUCCAAAUGGAAAGAUAUAUAUCAUUUUAUAGAUUGGAAAACUUAAUACUAAAAAGUGAUAGAUUCAAUACAAUGGAAUCUAUUGUUUCUAAAAUGUGCAUUUGUGUUAGUUUAUGUAUGUAUAUAAAAAUUGAAAAGCUAAUUUUAAAAAUACACAUGAAAAUAAAAGGGCCAAGAAGAACUGAGACAUUCUUGUGGAAGAUGUCAAUUCUUGCUGUACAGAUGCUAAGAUUACUAUAAGGCUUUAGUCAUUAAGGCAGAGUGGUAUUCCCUCAAAAAUUGACACACCACUGAAACAGAAUUGAAGGACAAAAAAGC
This 2088-nucleotide long non-coding RNA is filed under the name Homo sapiens (human). RNAcentral's name for it is "HSALNT0364620". Lineage: Eukaryota; Metazoa; Chordata; Mammalia; Primates; Hominidae. The record is from RNAcentral.